Molecule: unclassified non-coding RNA, 437 nt
Filed under: Hevea brasiliensis (rubber tree)
Lineage: Eukaryota; Viridiplantae; Streptophyta; Magnoliopsida; Malpighiales; Euphorbiaceae
Source: RNAcentral
GCUUGCCUUGUGUUGAUGCGGCUGUCCACUUGUUGAUGGUUGAGUGUAUUGCGCAUGGUAUUGAGGUUAGUUUAUUUGUUCCUUGCCUUGUGUUGCCUUGCCGUGAGUUGCUUGCUACUUGUUGUCCAUUUGGUUGCCGUGGGACACUUCUAAGUUGGUUUUGACUUGUUGCCGUGUGAACCUCUUGGUGGUGAGGGUUUGGAUAUAACCUUGUUGCCGUGAGCUCCUUAGUGUUGAGUUUGGGAUUAUUGUGCGUGAGGUUGCUUGGGGUAACUUGUCAUUGCCGUGGGUUCCAUUCUUGUUGCUUGUGGUAUUGUUGGAUUCGGCCAUUGUAAUUCUUUGUUGUGAGAAUUGUUGUUGCCGUGGGACUCUUGUGCGUGAAGUUGCUUGUGGGAGCUUGUGAUGCUUAAAUGAGGUUCGGCCAUUGUUGAGUUUGG